Non-coding RNA from Triticum urartu, 1966 nucleotides. Lineage: Eukaryota; Viridiplantae; Streptophyta; Magnoliopsida; Poales; Poaceae. The record is from RefSeq and is a predicted model, not a curated record.
GCUUAUCCUUUUUGAUAGAAUCGAUCAAUUAGCCCGUCUCAAGGUCUUCCCAGAUAUGCGGCCUUGUUGGAACAAAUGGAGUUGGAAAAUCCACAUCACUUAAAGUCUUAGCUGGCAAGCUGAAACCUCACAAUCCGGCAAGAGAUCAUUACAUACUUCUAGGGUUCUGAGCUUCAGAAUUAUUUUACAUGUAUAUUGGAGGACCUGAAGAGCUGUUUAAUCCAGCAAUGAAACGCAGGUCAUCGCCCAUUCUACUCGCAGCAUCGGCACAAACUGCCGCUGCUGACCAUCAUUAUUCGGUCGUAAUCCCGGCGUCCUCCUCCUGUUGUGCCCUUGGCUUAUUGCCUCGAGGUGCCACCCAAAUGCGCGUGGCUGCAAAAGUGUUUCAUCAUGGUCAGGCGCAGGUAGAUGACAACAAGCUGCAGAACAAUGAGCAGCUCGACAGAGGAGUACCGACGCAACGCUCGCCAUAGGGAAUUGGGAAGGUACAGAGUUGGGCUCCCCUGAUCACUAUAUUUAUUGGGAAGCUUGGUACAAGACAAUCUUAGUUUGGGCUAUGAUGCAACAAUAGGUUUUGAUUGCCAAAGCUGGACUUGACUGAGCAGAUACAUUGACGAUGUUCAUCAAGGGGUUGUUGGAUAUCUUGACCGGUCUGCAGUACUUGGAAGAAAACUUCCUAGGUAACGUUCAGGAGAUAAAUGAUUUUAAUGUUACAUAGCACACUCCUCUCUGCAUGUUCCAUGCCAAGUGGAGCAAACCCUGUUUUACUGCUUUUGUGUGACUGUAGUUUGGAACAAGAUUCCUUCAGUGGGUUCUACAUUUUAAGUUUAAUAUGAGAAAUGCUAUCAAAUUAUCAAUAUGCACUUAUUAUUGUAACUCAAUGUGAAUCGAGUUCUUUGUAUUUCUUUGUGCUUGUUACUGGGUAUUAUUUGUUAAGACCACUCUAAGCAGAGAGAAUCAAAACAAAGGAUGGUAAGCUGAAACUUAUUGCAUUUGUUUUUGAAAAACUACCAUUGUUUCCAGAACACACAUAAACUAUAGCUUUUUAGUAGCAACAUCCAUUCUUAUUCUCAGAUUCUCAAAUGCAGUGGUGCAUGAAAAUAGAUUCCUAGCCAUAGGAAAAACUAUGUUGUGAAGCCCAAUAAAACUUGAGAAAAUGGGUUAAUGAUGUGGUCCAAGCAAGCUUAAAUAAGAGGUAAAGACGCCCAGAUCCUGGGAUUACCAAAGUUAACGUUUACGUGGCAUUCUCAUGUGCCAAUGCUCGUGCGACCAUGGAGUUAAUUGUAAGACGUACUAGAGGAUGUGGUACGUACGACCUGUGAAGGAGGAAGAAUGGCCUGAUGUUACCUUUCAAUAUGAUUGUCAGGUACUGAUGGAGAUGUGGAACUAAUGAAAAGAGAACACAUCAGACAUUAUGGGCCUCCUGUGUGAAAUUGAAGAGCCGAGCCAAGCCUUUUGUCCCUUACGGUGUCUUUUAUUCUUAGAGGCUGAUUUUUGUGUGCAAAGCUGCCCCUGCAGGUUAGUGACCGGAGACUGUGGCAUAAUGCUGCUCCGGAUCAACUUGCUUUUUGAUGCAAACUGACAGUAAUCAUGAGGAAGAGAGCUGAGCUCCUUUGAUUGUGAAAAAAGUCCCUUUGAUCUUUUGGUGUUAAGAGGAUUGUACUUCACAAUAUUGGUUCAAUGCCGUUGAUAUUUUUAUGUGAGAUAUCUGCUUUCCAUUUUAGUGCUCAUUCGGAUGUGUUUUGAGUAUUUGCAACAUGUGAUGGAGUGUCAGGAUUUUCAUAAUACACUAUCAAUGCCUAUGCCAUUUGCAACUUUACACAAGCAUUUGGUUAGCAACCUCAUCUAAGAAGUAUGUGUUGAUCUACUAUCCCUUAUUCUUUUCCUCAAAUUUUAGUUAUGAAUUGCUUACACCAUAAUAUUCAAGACCAAAUGUAGGAUUAUGUCUCCAUGUACUAAGCAUAAU